This 74-nucleotide transfer RNA is filed under the name Bacteroidota bacterium. RNAcentral describes it as "Bacteroidetes bacterium (wastewater metagenome) tRNA-Arg". It matches the Rfam family "tRNA". From Rfam's summary of the family: Transfer RNA (tRNA) molecules are approximately 80 nucleotides in length. Their secondary structure includes four short double-helical elements and three loops (D, anti-codon, and T loops). Lineage: Bacteria; Pseudomonadati; Bacteroidota. The record is from RNAcentral. RNAcentral also lists the same sequence under 1 other name.
GCACCCGUAGCUCAACUGGAUAGAGCGUUGGCCUCCGAAGCCAAAGGUUUCGGGUUCAAAUCCCGACGGGUGUA